AUUGAACGCUGGCGGCAGGCCUAACACAUGCAAGUCGAGCGGGUGAAGGGAGCUUGCUCCUGGAUUCAGCGGCGGACGGGUGAGUAAUGCCUAGGAAUCUGCCUGGUAGUGGGGGAUAACGUCCGGAAACGGGCGCUAAUACCGCAUACGUCCUGAGGGAGAAAGUGGGGGAUCUUCGGACCUCACGCUAUCAGAUGAGCCUAGGUCGGAUUAGCUAGUUGGUGGGGUAAAGGCCUACCAAGGCGACGAUCCGUAACUGGUCUGAGAGGAUGAUCAGUCACACUGGAACUGAGACACGGUCCAGACUCCUACGGGAGGCAGCAGUGGGGAAUAUUGGACAAUGGGCGAAAGCCUGAUCCAGCCAUGCCGCGUGUGUGAAGAAGGUCUUCGGAUUGUAAAGCACUUUAAGUUGGGAGGAAGGGCAGUAAGUUAAUACCUUGCUGUCUUGACGUUACCAACAGAAUAAGCACCGGCUAACUUCGUG
This 484-nucleotide ribosomal RNA is filed under the name uncultured bacterium. RNAcentral's name for it is "partial 16S ribosomal RNA". It matches the Rfam family "Bacterial small subunit ribosomal RNA", at positions 30 to 507 of the family's 1533-position model. The record is from RNAcentral.